AUGAGGACCACCAAACAAUGCAACCUGCCACUUCCUUUGGGCAAGCAUUAUCGCUCAAAUGUGUUGUGCGAUGUGGUUGACAUGGAUGCCAGCCAUGUUCUUCUUGGGAGACCUUGGCAAUUUGAUGUGGAUACUACACACAAGGGCAAGGAAAAUUCUUAUUCUUUCAUUUGGAACAAGAGAAAGAUCAUUAUUCUACCAAACAAAACUGACGGUAAUAUCGCUAAGGACGAGGGGAAAAGAAUGUUAACUAUCUCCCACACCUCUAAUGAGUUUAUGGAAGACUUGAAGGAGGCAGAUUUGUGUGCUGCACUUAUUGUAAAAGGAGAAGAGCACCCGACUGUUGAAAUUCCGGCAAAGGUACAUGGCUUAUUAGCUGAAUUUCAUAACAUACUUGGGGAGCCACAAGGCCUACCACCGAUGAGAGGGAUUCAACAUAGAAUCGACUUAAUUCCAGGAGAAAGUCUUCCUAAUCUUCCACACUAUCGAAUGAGCCCAAAAGAGCAUAUUGAAGGAGAGAGUGGAAGAAUUGCUACAGAAGGGGCACAUUCGAGAAAGUAUUAG
RNAcentral lists this ribosomal RNA (564 nucleotides) under Triticum aestivum (bread wheat). Its description in RNAcentral is "partial small subunit ribosomal RNA". Lineage: Eukaryota; Viridiplantae; Streptophyta; Magnoliopsida; Poales; Poaceae. The record is from RNAcentral.